AACGAACGCUGGCGGCGUGCUUAAGACAUGCAAGUCGUGCGAGAAAGUCACCUUCGGGUGGCGAGUACAGCGGCGCACGGGUGAGUAACGCGUGGGUAAUCUACCCAUGGGUUCGGGAUAACCCCGGGAAACUGGGGCUAAUACCGGGUAAGACCACGAGGUCCUUGGGCCUUGUGGAAAAAGGUGGCCUCUCCUUGGAAGCUACCGCCCAUGGAUGAGCCCGCGUCCCAUUAGCUUGUUGGUGAGGUAACAGCUCACCAAGGCUCCGAUGGGUAGCUGGUUUGAGAGGAUGAUCAGCCACACUGGGACUGAGACACGGCCCAGACUCCUACGGGAGGCAGCAGUCGGGAAUUUUGGGCAAUGGGCGCAAGCCUGACCCAGCAACGCCGCGUGAGGGAUGAAGGCCUUCGGGUCGUAAAGCCCUUUUCCAGGGGAAGAACCCCCGCUUCGGCGGGGAUGACGGUACCCUGGGAAUAAGCCCCGGCUAACUCCGUG
This 495-nucleotide ribosomal RNA is filed under the name uncultured bacterium. Its description in RNAcentral is "bacterial SSU rRNA". It matches the Rfam family "Bacterial small subunit ribosomal RNA", at positions 28 to 507 of the family's 1533-position model. The record is from RNAcentral.